This 482-nucleotide ribosomal RNA is filed under the name uncultured bacterium. RNAcentral describes it as "partial 16S ribosomal RNA". It matches the Rfam family "Bacterial small subunit ribosomal RNA", at positions 30 to 507 of the family's 1533-position model. The record is from RNAcentral.
AUUGAACGCUGGCGGCAUGCUUUACACAUGCAAGUCGAACGGCAGCGCGGGGCAACCUGGCGGCGAGUGGCGAACGGGUGAGUAAUAUAUCGGAACGUACCCAGAAGUGGGGGAUAACGUAGCGAAAGUUACGCUAAUACCGCAUACGAUCUACGGAUGAAAGUAGGGGACCGCAAGGCCUUAUGCUUUUGGAGCGGCCGAUAUCUGAUUAGCUAGUUGGUGAGGUAAAGGCUCACCAAGGCGACGAUCAGUAGCUGGUCUGAGAGGACGACCAGCCACACUGGAACUGAGACACGGUCCAGACUCCUACGGGAGGCAGCAGUGGGGAAUUUUGGACAAUGGGCGCAAGCCUGAUCCAGCAAUGCCGCGUGAGUGAAAAAGGCCUUCGGGUUGUAAAGCUCUUUUGUCAGGGAAGAAACGGUAGAGGCUAAUAUCCUUUGCUAAUGACGGUACCUGAAGAAUAAGCACCGGCUAACUACGUG